CGGUAACAGGGGUAGCUUGCUACCCGCUGACGAGCGGCGGACGGGUGAGUAAUGCAUAGGAAUCUGCCCGAUAGUGGGGGAUAACCUGGGGAAACCCAGGCUAAUACCGCAUACGUCCUACGGGAGAAAGGGGGCUUUGGCUCCCGCUAUUGGAUGAGCCUAUGUCGGAUUAGCUAGUUGGUAAGGUAAUGGCUUACCAAGGCAACGAUCCGUAGCUGGUCUGAGAGGAUGAUCAGCCACAUCGGGACUGAGACACGGCCCGAACUCCUACGGGAGGCAGCAGUGGGGAAUAUUGGACAAUGGGGGCAACCCUGAUCCAGCCAUGCCGCGUGUGUGAAGAAGGCCCUCGGGUUGUAAAGCACUUUCAGCGAGGAAGAACGCCUGUCGGUUAAUACCCGGUAGGAAAGACAUCACUCGCAGAAGAAGCACCGGCUAACUCCGUGCCAGCAGCCGCGGUAAUACGGAGGGUGCAAGCGUUAAUCGGAAUUACUGGGCGUAAAGCGCGCGUAGGUGGCUUGAUAAGCCGGUUGUGAAAGCCCCGGGCUCAACCUGGGAACGGCAUCCGGAACUGUCAGGCUAGAGUGCAGAGAGGAAGGUAGAAUCCCGGUGUAGCGGUGAAAUGCGUAGAGAUCGGGAGGAAUACCAGUGGCGAGCGCUCUGGACUGACACUGACACUGAGGUGCGAAAGCGUGGUAGCAAACAG
This 703-nucleotide ribosomal RNA is filed under the name bacterium L13. Its description in RNAcentral is "bacterial SSU rRNA". It matches the Rfam family "Bacterial small subunit ribosomal RNA", at positions 67 to 775 of the family's 1533-position model. The record is from RNAcentral.